Molecule: unclassified non-coding RNA, 66 nt
Filed under: Rhodotorula toruloides
Lineage: Eukaryota; Fungi; Basidiomycota; Microbotryomycetes; Sporidiobolales; Sporidiobolaceae
Source: RNAcentral
GGGACACGCCAACUGCUCGUCAAGACGCCUCCACCGCUCGACGUGCCCGACCUUGUUCGGCGGCCU